CUACCGGCAACGGGGUCUCUGAAAGAAGCCGGCGGCAAAGUUCCAGCCCGAGGAACACGAAUCGCAUACGAGGCCACAGACGGAGAUGAGCGUGCUGCGCAGCGCAAAUCGCAAUAGUCGCGGAGCUGUCUGGGGUAAAUGCGGCGGGUAGAUGGAAUGAAAGAUAUGUGA
This is a non-coding RNA of Faecalibaculum rodentium, 171 nucleotides long. Lineage: Bacteria; Bacillati; Bacillota; Erysipelotrichia; Erysipelotrichales; Erysipelotrichaceae. The record is from Rfam.